RNAcentral lists this ribosomal RNA (453 nucleotides) under uncultured bacterium. Its description in RNAcentral is "bacterial SSU rRNA". It matches the Rfam family "Bacterial small subunit ribosomal RNA", at positions 339 to 794 of the family's 1533-position model. The record is from RNAcentral.
UUACGGGAGGCAGCAGUAAGGAAUAUUGCGCAAUGGGCGACAGCCUGACGCAGCGACGCCGCGUGGGGGAUGAAGGUCUUCGGAUUGUAAACCCCUUUCGGCAGGGAAGAUGGAACGGGUAACCGUUCGGACGGUACCUGCAGAAGCAGCCACGGCUAACUUCGUGCCAGCAGCCGCGGUAAUACGAAGGUGGCAAGCGUUGUUCGGAUUUACUGGGCGUACAGGGAGCGUAGGCGGUUGGGUAAGCCCUCCGUGAAAUCUCCGGGCCUAACCCGGAAAGUGCGGAGGGGACUGCUCGGCUAGAGGAUGGGAGAGGAGCGCGGAAUUCCCGGUGUAGCGGUGAAAUGCGUAGAGAUCGGGAGGAAGGCCGGUGGCGAAGGCGGCGCUCUGGAACAUUUCUGACGCUGAGGCUCGAAAGCGUGGGGAGCAAACAGGAUUAGAUACCCUGGUAGC